This 601-nucleotide long non-coding RNA is filed under the name Coturnix japonica (Japanese quail). RNAcentral describes it as "lncRNA (ENSCJPG00005002169.1)". The record is from RNAcentral. Lineage: Eukaryota; Metazoa; Chordata; Aves; Galliformes; Phasianidae.
UCUCUAUGGGGCAGCUAUGGGGCGGCUAUGGGUUCCUUAUGGGGUCCCUAUGGGGUUUCUAUGGGGUGUCUAUGGGGUCCCUAUGGGGUCUCUGUGGGGUCUCUAUGGGGCAGCUAUGGGGUGGGGUAUCUAUGGGGUCCCUAUGGGGUGGGGUGUCUACGGGUCCCUAUGGGGUCCCUAUGGGGUCUCUAUGGGGCAGCUAUGGGGUCUCUAUGGGGCAGCUAUGGGGUGUCUAUGGGGCAGCUAUGGGGUGGCUAUGGGGCAGCUAUGGGGUGUCUGUGGGGUCCCUAUGGGGUGUCUAUGGGGCAGCUAUGGGGCGGCUAUGGGUUCCUUAUGGGGUCUCUAUGGGGUUUCUAUGGGGCAGCUAUGGGGUCCCUAUGGGGUCUCUAUGGGGUCCCUAUGGGGUCCCUAUGGGGUCUCUAUGGGGCAGCUAUGGGGUGGGGUCCCUAUGGGGUCUCUAUGGGGCAGCUAUGGGGUGGGGUAUCUGUGGGGUCUCUAUGGGGUCCCUAUGGGGUCCCUAUGGGGUGGGGUGUCUAUGGGUCCCUAUGGGGUCUCUAUGGGGCAGCUAUGGGGCGGCUAUGGGUUCCUUAUGGGGUCCCUA